GGGAAAGUUGCAAAGAACUUUGAAGAGAGAGUUCAAGAGGGCGUGAAACCGCUUAGAAGCAAACGGAUGGACCUGACGUUGAGUCAGCGGAAUUCAGCUNGCCGCGUUACCUCAGCCUGGUGCUUGAUCAAAUGACUAAGUUGCUGGGUACUGGUGUGGCCGGUGAGUGCAUUUUCUGUUGAUGCGCACUGGAACCUGUGUCAGCGCUGGAGUCAAGGUUGUGGAUGCCGGCCAGCUUAUGUUGGUGUCCCUCCACUUCCCGAAACCGGGUCGCUGGCACAGGAACUAGGAAGACACUCGCCUCUACUCGACUGCGUGGUGGGCCUUGCCAAUUGAACUGUGGUGUUAUGCUCGCAUGAUUCCGCGAUGCCUGGCUUGGUGUGCUGCGUUGUUCGAGUCAGUGUCCUAUUCUGGUGUUUUAGUCAGUCACCCAUCUGACCCGUCUUGAAACACGGACCAAGGAGUCUAACAUGUGCGCGAGUCACUGGGUUGCAACACCCAAGGGCGCAAUGAAAGUGAAGUCCAGUUCGGCUGGCUGACAUGGGACCCUUUGCUUGUCAGAGGUGCACCAUGGUCCCGUCNGUACUGCAUUGUCAGUAGGGCGGAGAUUGAGCGUACACGUUGGGACCCGAAAGAUGGUGAACUAUGCCUGAGCAGGAUGAAGCCAGAGGAAACUCUGGUGGAGGUCCAUAGCGAUUCUGACGUGCAAAUCGAUCGUCGGACUUGGGUAUAGGGGCGAAAGACUAAUCGAACCAUCUAGUAGCU
RNAcentral lists this ribosomal RNA (765 nucleotides) under Sigmophoranema sp. NRR-2010. Its description in RNAcentral is "eukaryotic LSU rRNA". It matches the Rfam family "Eukaryotic large subunit ribosomal RNA", at positions 357 to 952 of the family's 3401-position model. The record is from RNAcentral. Lineage: Eukaryota; Metazoa; Nematoda; Chromadorea; Desmodorida; Desmodoridae.